This is a long non-coding RNA of Nycticebus coucang (slow loris), 931 nucleotides long. RefSeq lists it as uncharacterized. Lineage: Eukaryota; Metazoa; Chordata; Mammalia; Primates; Lorisidae. The transcript is spliced from 3 exons. The record is from RefSeq and is a predicted model, not a curated record.
GUAUGAAAGUAGAUAAAACUUAAACACAGAUGCUAAGACACUUGGCUGUAGGAACUCUGCUUGUCCAGUGACAUUCUCCCACCAGACGCAGGGAGAGAGUGUAGGAGAGUACUAAGGAGCCCAGGGAAAGACAAACUGGCCACAGAGAAAGGACCCUGCAGAAGGCCUCAGAACCUUCUCCAGUGUCAGCCCAUCACUCCAUACCCAGUGGGGUUCAGUAGCUGCCCGUUCACUCCCACUAUCCCUGUUGUGACGUCCCAGCCACAGCCUGGCCCACGCCGUCCAAUCAGGCAAUGUCUCCACUGCAGGAGACCUGAAUCCAGCACGGGCAGGCACCAGGGCUCCCAAGGCCAUCCCGGGUGCCCCGCCGAGCGGCCAUUCCUCACUGCUAUCUCUACCGUCUCUGCUCACUUCUUUGCCUCCUUCCCCGCUUUCCAUGGGGAUCUGUGUAUGUCUGUGUUGAAUGUAUGUGUGUAUGUAAUCCGAGUCUGGCCACGUCUUUCAGCUCCCGAGACCAGUGCUUCUCAAAGGUCAGCACACAUAAGAAUCCCCUGGUCGCUUCAUGGGCUCCUUUUCCAGAAAUUCUGAUACUGCAGGUGGGGCAUGUGUGUCAGAAUCGGCACUUCUAACAAGUUCAUUGGUGCUGAUGUUGCUGGCAUGCGGACCGCACCUUGAGUAGAACUGCCAUCAAGCGUCCACCAGCCAUGCUGAGUAUGCCACCACCUUUCCAUCCCAGAGGCUGCUGCCCAGGCCCCGGCCUCAUCAAAGCAGUGCUAGCUAGACCACCAAGCCUUCCUCUCUCUCAGUAAAACCACAAAAGGCAAGACGAAGUGAACAUGCCAGGAGGCUACCUCUGUCUGAGAUGGCACGAGCAGGAUAUGCCCGGCGGGAACGUGAACUACACCGGGAAAUCAGCCUCUACAGCACAAGA